This 266-nucleotide long non-coding RNA is filed under the name Malus domestica (apple). Its description in RNAcentral is "long non-coding RNA (MDOM_LNC019536)". Lineage: Eukaryota; Viridiplantae; Streptophyta; Magnoliopsida; Rosales; Rosaceae. The record is from RNAcentral.
CCCAUCAUUUUUGUAUUAAGGAGCGAGCCCUUAUUUUAUAAAAGGGACUCCCUCACCUUCAACACCACAAGCCAAACCAACCAAGGCAACAUAAGCCACAAGCAGAGCAGCCUCACAACAUGUGCUACUUCUGGUUGAGCAUUAUUUCAGAUUGGGCAUCGCCUCAUAUCGAGUAUCAGUUCUAGACGACAUCUAGUUACUUCGGCCCACACAUGGAUUGAAUUUCAAGUCUCCAGCUAAAAGACUUUCUUGACUGAAGACUUGGG